Molecule: unclassified non-coding RNA, 253 nt
Filed under: uncultured Alphaproteobacteria bacterium
Lineage: Bacteria; Pseudomonadati; Pseudomonadota; Alphaproteobacteria
Description: contains 16S-23S intergenic spacer region
Rfam family: Bacterial small subunit ribosomal RNA
Source: RNAcentral
UACGAAGGGCCCGAGCGUUGCGCGGAAUUACUGGGCGUAAAGCGCACGUAGGCGGAUUGUUAAGUGAGGGGUGAAGUCCCAGGGCUCAACCCUGGAACUGCCUCUCAUACUGGCAAUCUCGAGUUCGAGAGAGGUGAGUGGAAUUCCGAGUGUAGAGGUGAAAUUCGUAGAUAUUCGGAGGAACACCAGUGGCGAAGGCGGCUCACUGGCUCGAAACUGACGCUGAGGUGCGAAAGCGUGGGGAGCACACAGG